AGCAGCCGCGGUAAUUCCAGCUCCAAUAGCGUAUAUUAAAGUUGUUGCAGUUAAAAAGCUCGUAGUUGAAUUUCGGGGUUAGCAAGUUGGUCGUGCCACUGGUAUGUACUGGCUUUGCUGAUUCCUCCUUCUUGUAGAACCGUAAUGCCAUUUAGUUGGUGUUGCGGGGAAACAGGACUGUUACUUUGAAAAAAUUAGAGUGUUUAAAGCAGGCUAACGCCUGAAUACAUUAGCAUGGAAUAAUGAAAUAGGACGAGCGAUCCUAUUUUGUUGGUUUCUAGGAUUGACGUAAUGAUUAAUAGGGAUAGUUGGGGGCAUUAGUAUUCAAUUGUCAGAGGUGAAAUUCUUGGAUUUAUUGAAGACUGACUACUGCGAAAGCAUUUGCCAAGGAUGUUUUCAUUAAUCAAGAACGAAAGUUAGGGGAUCGAAGACGAUCAGAUACCGUCGUAGUCUUAACCAUAAACUAUGCCGA
Molecule: ribosomal RNA, 472 nt
Filed under: uncultured Glomus
Lineage: Eukaryota; Fungi; Glomeromycota; Glomeromycetes; Glomerales; Glomeraceae
Description: SSU rRNA
Rfam family: Eukaryotic small subunit ribosomal RNA
Source: RNAcentral